AUUGUCCUAACAGUUCGGACACUUCUGGAUGGCAUAGACAACAGAGGGGAGAAUGUGGUAGUCGGAACCACCAACAGACUAGGUUCUAUAGAUCCUGCUUUACAGAGACCAGGACACUUUGACAGAGAGUUCCUCUUCAACUUGCCAAAUAAAGAGAUUCUUGGACACUUCAGAUGACUCCUACUGGACAUUCUCAGGUAGACCAGCAACAGGAGCUCUUGUGACCAGGCCAAUUGCAAAUGAAGUCACUUGUUAACCAAUGCCAACGAAAA
Molecule: long non-coding RNA, 272 nt
Organism: Oxyura jamaicensis (ruddy duck)
Lineage: Eukaryota; Metazoa; Chordata; Aves; Anseriformes; Anatidae
Exons: 3
Source: RefSeq, a predicted model, not a curated record